AUGAGUAUGGCAGAAUCCAACAUCCAUUCAACCUCUAAAUUGGGGCUCCAUGGCUACCAACCGAUGGAGCAAGACUGGAGACCACCCUCUUCUCCUCCAAUUUGGAGCUCGAUGGCCGCCAUUCAACAGGCGCUGCCGUCGUUGCCUCCUCACCGCCUCACCUGGGAGAGCACAGGCGCCAACAUCACCCACGACCCGCUGCAUGUUCGGUCAACAAGCUGUAGUUCAAUUAGGUCUGUUGCUCCUCUUACAUGCAGAGCCUGGGAAGAUCAUGGUCUUCUCUCAUUCUCUUGUGAACAAUAUAUACACUGUAGGUAUGCGAGAAGAAAUAUUGUAUUGCUUGGAAAAAGAUAUGCGAAAUUAGCAGGCAUCAAUUUGACCAUGUUUACAAGCUAUUAG
RNAcentral lists this ribosomal RNA (399 nucleotides) under Triticum aestivum (bread wheat). RNAcentral's name for it is "partial small subunit ribosomal RNA". Lineage: Eukaryota; Viridiplantae; Streptophyta; Magnoliopsida; Poales; Poaceae. The record is from RNAcentral.